Molecule: long non-coding RNA, 1274 nt
Organism: Beta vulgaris subsp. vulgaris (sugar beet)
Lineage: Eukaryota; Viridiplantae; Streptophyta; Magnoliopsida; Caryophyllales; Amaranthaceae
Exons: 5
Source: RefSeq, a predicted model, not a curated record
UGGCUAUUCACCAUAAGAAAAUACAUAAUGGCAUUAAGAGCCUAUAAAUAACUAAAGUGAACACUUGGUAUCUAUUAAAAUGUAAUUGUGAUUCUCAAAUCUUAUGUGUUAGUUGGGUAUAUAUUGUGUCCUUUGCAUGUUUCUAGCAGCCAUUUUUGCAAGCAUUAAUCUUGGCUAACUUAAUCUAACCUGUAAACAUACACCAAAUUAGUUUAAAAGAAUUUGGAGGCAGGGCCAACAACAUUGCAGUGGGAUGACAUUAUGCACAUUUUAUUUCCUAUUUCCUUCUGUCUUUUGGGUCAUGAAUAUCUAAACAUAACAGAUUAUACAUCAACUGAUAUGUUAGUUGGAAGCCAAUACUUCUACCCAUACAUUUGAGGAUGUUUUUGGAGGUGAUUGUUGAAAGGACUCAGAAAAAUAUAGUAGCAUAUCUAUUUAGGGCUUACACAUGAUGGCGCAUAAUGCGCCUUAUCCUGUUUUGUUGAUUGAAUAUUGCAGAAGUAUCCAGCAAGGGUCCAAUCCAAUGCACCUCGGUAUGAACAUUUUCUAGCAAACUUUUGUUCAGAACUCAUUUUGUAAUUUUAGCAUCAUACUGGAUAUUAACCUUCAUAGGAAGAUGAGGACAAGAAGCUCCUACUGGGAAAAUAGCAAACUGCGCAAUCUCAGCUUGAUGAGAUUAUCAAAGCAAAAAUCAGACUAAUUUCAGAGAACACUGAGUUGAAGCAAUCUGUUGAGUAUUAAAGAUGAUAUAAAUAGUCUCAAGCCAAAGCUUAGUGCCACAGAAUUGAGUACACUGGAAGAGGAACACAAGGCUCUCUUGUCAGAGAAGGAUGGAGAAUUGGAGUACAUGCGGAGUUUGGAUACCAACCUCGAGAAAGUGAAGGUGUGCGUGCGGAGGAGACUACAAGGUGGAUACAUGCGGUUGUGAUGUGGGAUAAUAGUGUAUUAUUGAUAUCAACUCUGAAUGAAUUGUUACUUUUGCGAAGUUACAACUGAAUUUUCUCAAAAAUAAGCUUGAUGAGCUCAGAGACUUGUGGAUCAAAUACGUGGAUGAAUAUAAACAAGUGGAUGAAGAACAAUCGGAAGAUAAUGACCAUUUUAAUUAGGAUGUGUGUAUUUUCCUUUUGAGCGGGAUUAGGGAGGUGCUUCUAUUUUUGUACACAUGAAUUGGAAGAAAUGGGCCUAGGUGCUCUAUUAUUUUUUUUAUAACUUAGUUGAAUUUUUGGAAUCUUUUAAACAUUAUAUUGAUAUGCAUGUAAUUUUGUAGUGAAUGA